This 762-nucleotide ribosomal RNA is filed under the name uncultured bacterium. Its description in RNAcentral is "bacterial SSU rRNA". It matches the Rfam family "Bacterial small subunit ribosomal RNA", at positions 96 to 826 of the family's 1533-position model. The record is from RNAcentral.
UGGCGUACGGGUGAGUAACGCGUGGGUAAUCUACCUCUGAAUUGGGGAUAACAUUGCGAAAGCGAUGCUAAUACCGGAUAUUAUUCUGGGAGCUUCGGAUUUCAGAAUUAAAGGUGGCCUCUACAUGUAAGCUACUGUUUGGAGAUGAGCCCGCGUACCAUUAGUUUGUUGGUAGGGUAAUGGCCUACCCAAGGCUACGAUGGUUAGCUGGUCUGAGAGGGAUGAUCAGCCCACACUGGAACUGACACACGGUCCCAGACUCCUACGGGGAGGCAGCAGUGAGGAAUUUUGCGCAAAUGGGGGAAACCCCUGACGCAGCAACGCCGCGUGAGUGAUGAAGGCUUUAGGGUCGUAAAGCUCUGUCAAAGUGGGAAGAAACUGUUUGAUGCUAAUAUCAUCAUACACUGACGGUACCACUGAAGGAAGCACCGGCUAACUCCGUGCCAGCAGCCGCGGUAAUACGGAGGGUGCAAGCGUUAAUCGGAAUUACUGGGCGUAAAGCGCGCGUAGGCGGUUUGGUAAGUCAGAUGUGAAAGCCCUGGGCUCAACCUGGGAAUUGCAUUUGAUACUGCCUGACUAGAGUAUGGUAGAGGGAAGUGGAAUUCCAGGUGUAGCGGUGAAAUGCGUAGAUAUCUGGAGGAACAUCAGUGGCGAAGGCGACUUCCUGGACCAAUACUGACGCUCAGGCGCGAAAGCGUGGGUAGCAAACAGGAUUAGAUACCCUGGUAGUCCACGCCGUAAACGAUGUCAACUAGCCGUUGG